AUGCACGCUGGCGGCGUGCUUCACACCUGCAGGUCGAACGCUGAAGCCCAGCUUGCUGGGUGGAUUAGUGGCGAACGGGUGAGUAACACGUGAGUAACCUGCCCUUAACUCUGGGAUAAGCCUGGGAAACUGGGUCUAAUACCGGAUAGGAGCGUCCACCGCAUGGUGGGUGUUGGAAAGAUUUAUCGGUUUUGGAUGGACUCGCGGCCUAUCAGCUUGUUGGUGAGGUAAUGGCUCACCAAGGCGACGACGGGUAGCCGGCCUGAGAGGGUGACCGGCCACACUGGGACUGAGACACGGCCCAGACUCCUACGGGAGGCAGCAGUGGGGAAUAUUGCACAAUGGGCGCAAGCCUGAUGCAGCGACGCCGCGUGAGGGAUGACGGCCUUCGGGUUGUAAACCUCUUUCAGUAGGGAAGAAGCGAAAGUGACGGUACCUGCAGAAGAAGCACCGGCUAACUACGUG
Molecule: ribosomal RNA, 465 nt
Filed under: uncultured bacterium
Lineage: Bacteria
Description: partial 16S ribosomal RNA
Rfam family: Bacterial small subunit ribosomal RNA
Source: RNAcentral